Molecule: ribosomal RNA, 496 nt
Filed under: uncultured bacterium
Lineage: Bacteria
Description: bacterial SSU rRNA
Rfam family: Bacterial small subunit ribosomal RNA
Source: RNAcentral
GAUGAACGCUGGCGGCGUGCCUAAUACAUGCAAGUCGAACGCAUUGUGGUUGAAAUGAUAUGAGGAACUUGUUCAGAUUUGAUUUUCAACAUUGCAAUGAGUGGCGAACGGGUGAGUAACACGUGGGAAACCUACCUCUUAGCAGGGGAUAACAUUUGGAAACAAAUGCUAAUACCGUAUAAUAAUUAAAACCGCAUGGUUUUAGUUUAAAAGAUGGUCUUGCUAUCACUAAGAGAUGGUCCCGCGGUGUAUUAGUUAGUUGGUGAGGUAAUGGCUCACCAAGACAAUGAUACAUAGCCGAGUUGAGAGACUGACCGGCCACAAUGGGACUGAGACACGGCCCAUACUCCUACGGGAGGCAGCAGUAGGGAAUCUUCCACAAAUGGACGAAAGUCUGAUGGAGCAACGCCGCGUGUGUGAUGAAGGGUUUCGGCUCGUAAAACACUGUUGUAAGAGAAGAAUGACAUUGAGAGUAACUGUUCAAUGUGUGACGGUA